RNAcentral lists this ribosomal RNA (253 nucleotides) under uncultured bacterium. RNAcentral describes it as "partial 16S ribosomal RNA". It matches the Rfam family "Bacterial small subunit ribosomal RNA", at positions 524 to 776 of the family's 1533-position model. The record is from RNAcentral.
UACGUAGGGGGCAAGCGUUAUCCGGAUUUACUGGGCGUAAAGAGCGUGUAGGUGGUUACGUAAGUUGGUUGUGAAAUCUCCCGGCUCAACCGGGAAACUGCAAUCAAUACUGCGUGGCUAGAGUGGCAGAGAGGAAAGUGGAAUUCCCGGUGUAGUAGUGAAAUGCGUAGAUAUCGGGAGGAACACCAGCGGCGAAGGCGACUUUCUGGCUGCCAACUGACACUGAGACGCGAAAGCUAGGGGAGCGAACGGG